CGCCCCUGCCUGCCACCGCUCCUCCGCCGUGCGCCGCCCCCGCCGUGCACUGCCACCACCCCUGCGGCUUUCCACCACCGGGAACACUCGACGCCGACGCCGCACCUUCCCCCAACUCCUCUCUCUCCUCCUCCUUUGCCGCACCGCUCUUCAUCACCCGGCCAACUCCGUCGAAACGGGCAGGCGGCGCUGGAGUUCGCCGGAACGGGCCGGCGGGCGGUAAGAGCCGCGGCGGCGGCGCGAAAACUGUCAGAUUCAGGCGCGGCAUCGACGGAUCUGGUGGCUGGUGUGGCAGCUUGCUAGAUGGCGGCGGCUGGAGCCCUACUCAUCCAGAGAAAAAGAGAGACAGGCCGUGAGGGAGAGAGGAAGAAAUGAGAAGGAGAAGGGGCACAGGGUGAGGUAGGCAGGUAGGGCGGCGUGCUCCUAUUGAGGCGGCAGCGUGCGGUUGCCGGCAAGGGUAGCACAUCUCGCUGGAGCACACGUUGUUCCUGGCCAGAGGCCUCGGAUCGACCGGCUGGGCUCGGCGCUGCUGAGCAACGACGGUGGCGGGGGGUCAAGGGGAUCGUUGAGGACGCCAGCAACAGCCUCUUCAAACUACGCGUAAUCACUGUACCAUUGGCUGCAUCGGUUAUUUGUAUGAGAUUCACCCUCUUUGUGUUGAGGAAAGAGCCGGAAGGAGAGUACAUGGACGAGGAGGGGAAGAAUGACUAGGCAGAUUGCCCACAACUCUGCACAGGUGCAGCCAAACAAAGCCUAGCUGGACAUCAUUUGUCAAGGUUUGCACACAACUACACACUGAAAAUUCUAGCUAGGUUGAUUCAGAUAUUGGUGCUACUGCCUAUCAUCCAUAGCAUCUCCUCUUUUUACCACCAGCCACCACUACCACAAUGUUCCUCGCACAAAUCAGGUUGUCUCACCGGCCUACAGAACUUGGAUAUUUGCUACGACAGUCUGUUGGUUGAUGCCCAUCGAGAGUUCAAGACUAAUCCACACUAGACAUUCUUGAUUCCUUAUUAUUUGCAUUAUUUUUAGAUCCAUUACCUUCUUGCAUAUCAUCAUCUAUGCAGCACAUGCCAACAAGCUCUGUCGACGUGGUGCGUAUAUAGUAAUCUAACAAGGCAGUACACAUGUAUGCAAGCAGAGAGAUAUAUGAGACCAUGAGGGCAUCCUAUAGACAAAAAGGACAUUCGAGGAAUUAAAAAAUUGAAUCGUCUCCACAGAACAAACUGCAAGCUUUGAAAUCAUUGAAGUGUUGACAAUUCUGUAAUCUCUUAACAUAGGCUGCCACCAUCAUGCUUCUCAGGUAGGCUAAUCCUUUUCUCCAUCAAGUUGUUCAUUGCGUUCACGACAGUGAGUAGCACAGAACCUAAACAAAUUCAUAAUAUUGUCUGUUGAUGUCCCCACCAUGAAGGCCCGGAGGCUCUGUUCGUAAUCACCUCUCGCCAUAUCCGGGGAGGAUUAUGGUCUAGGGCUCUAGGCAGAGCGGCGCAUGAUGCUGUAGUGUGGCUAUUGUCAAUGACACGGUCGUGAUGUUGUCCACUUUGUCCCGGUGGUUCGAAAGCAACGCAAUGACAUCAUGUUUCUUCUCCUCAGCGAGUUUAUUAUUUUUCAUAGACCUCAUGGAGCAGAGUACCGAGGGCUGAGGAGACAAGUGCUGGAGAGGGUGGCAUGCAUCAGGAUGAGGGAAGAAAGUGCUGGAGGAUGUAAACAUUUGGCGGAACAUGUAUAUAGUGGUUCUUUGUGGGGAAAAAUGUAUAGAGUGGUUGGUGUAUACGUCCUUUUUGUGAUAAUAAUAAAUGAAGUGCAUUCUGGUGCUAUGGUUGUGACUAAAGAUGUUAGCGGCAGAAGCAAUUGCUACGUAAGUGUGAAUAA
Molecule: long non-coding RNA, 1872 nt
Organism: Triticum aestivum (bread wheat)
Lineage: Eukaryota; Viridiplantae; Streptophyta; Magnoliopsida; Poales; Poaceae
Exons: 4
Source: RefSeq, a predicted model, not a curated record